CUUUUCUCUCUUCUCUUUUCCUCUACUCUCCCUCUUCCUCUCUUUUCUUUCUUUAUCCUGUUAACUGAAUGACUCGUAUAAUACUUAUUUUAAACCACUGCUCAUGGUGACUUGGUAUUUGGCUUUCCUAGGUUGUCAAUAUGUUGAGAUGGUUUUCUUUUUCUUUUGUGGCUUGCUUUCGUCAGGCUCUUGUUUUCUAACAGCAGUAUUUCUUAUGUUUGUAUUUUAAAUAUUUUGUACACACACUUUAUUAUAUAUUAUCUGGAUAGCUCCCCUAAAAGACUUGAUGGCAAACUAGAAUUAUUUCUGGUUUUAUGAAAUGGUCAAAAUAAAAUACUGAUGCAUUUAAUAUGAUUUUCUAAGUCAAAUGCAUAACACAAGCAUCCCUUAUUUGAAAUACUUGAGACCAGAAUUGUUUUGGGUUUUGGGUUUUUUCAGAUUUUGGAAUAUUUGAAUUACCUUUACCUGUGAGCAUCCCUAAUUCGAAAAUUUGAAAUCCAGUGCUCCAGUGAGCAUUUCCUUUGAGCUGUGAGCAUCAUGUCAGUGCUGGAAAAGUAUUGACUUUUGGAGCAUUUCAGAUUUCAGAUUUGGAUUAAAGAUGCUCAACUUGUAUACACCUGUCUUUAAACUAUAACAGAUGAUUUCUUUCUCUCCAACAGUUCUUUUUUGUUUGUUUGUUUUUGGUGUUUUUUAUUUCUCUACAACAAUUUUUUGUUUUUUUUGUGUGUGUUUUUGUGUUUCUUUUGAGACAGGGUUUCACUGUAUUGACCAGGAUAGUCUUGAACUCCUGGCCUCAAGUGAUCCUCCCACCUUGGCUUCCCAAAGUGCCAGGAUGGUAUCCGUGAGCCACUGCAUUGGGUGCAACAGCUCUUUCCUAGUUCUUCUGUUGUAGCAUUUUAAGUCCAGAUGUUACAUUGAUUACUGUCCUCUGGGUUUUUAUUUCUAGCAUCUAGGGGUAAUAUUGAACCUAAUCUUUCAAAAUUUCUACUUAAUCCUUUCAAACACACACAGGAAUAGAGAGUAGUUCAUAUUGAAACCUUGUGGUCCCAUCACCCAGUUUCGAUUGUUAUCAAAGCUUUGCCACUUUGUUGGUUUCUUUCUCUUUGCCCAUUUGUUUGUUGAGUUAUUUUAAAGCAGAUGCACUCCAUCCUAUCUCUAAUAGAUAUCUCCCUUUAAAAAAGAAAUUCAAUGCAUUAUCACAUCUGACCAAACUAAUUUUUUUAGGAAAAAAAUCUAGCCUGGGCAACAUAGCAAGACCUCAUCUCUGCAAAACAUCAGAAACAAAAAAAUUAGCCUUCCAUAGGUUAAAUCCACCCUGCUGUAUGUCUGUUAAUAAAGUUUUAUUGGAACACAGGCACAUCUUGGGGGAUAUUUCUAACAGAGACCAUGUGAUCUACAAAGCCUAAAGUAUUUGCCAUCUGGCUCCUUAGAGAGAAUAUUUGCCCACUCCUGAGCCAGGAACUUUAAAUUGACCAGGAACUUUUUGCAGUGGAGUAUUAUUUGACCAUGAAAAGGAAUAUAGUUCUGACACAUUCUACUCCACAUUGGUAAACCUUCAAAACAUGAUGUGGGAUGAAAUAAGCUAGACAAAAAAGGGGCCCUAGAUUCUUCUAAGUCAUAGGGACAGAAGGUAGAUGGUGGGUGCCAGGGGCUGGGGAGGUGCAGGGAAGGGGGAGAUACUGUUUAAUGAGGAGGGAGUUUCUGUUUGGAAUGAUGAAGUUCCACCAAUGGAUGGUAGAGAGGGUUGCACAACAAGGUUGAUAGGCUUCCCGCCACUGAACCAUACACUUAAAAAUGAUUAAAAUGGAAAAUUUUAUGAUAGAUGUAUUUUACCAAAUAACUGUAUACAUAAUUGUAAUAUUUAAUUAGACAUAAAUAAUAUAUCCUG
This 1888-nucleotide long non-coding RNA is filed under the name Homo sapiens (human). Lineage: Eukaryota; Metazoa; Chordata; Mammalia; Primates; Hominidae. The record is from RNAcentral.